AGAAACAGCACUAACAAAGUUUAGACCCAUAAAUUUUGAAGGUCUAGCUACCAUAUUAUUACCCACAAGGGUAAAGGAACAGUACCACUGCUGGAUAAUUGGAAAGUCCCUGUGUGUCAACCUCUGUGCUUCGUGGCAAGGUAGACUAGCAAACAUGCCCAACCUUUACUCACAUUCGAGAAAACACUCCCAAUAAGAUUGCUUGCUCCAAAAUCGAAGAGGCACCGUCCUCCGAAUCUCGAGAGCCAGACUCCCAACAUGACUACUUUCUUAAAAAUCGAAGAGAGGGUAAAGGAACAGUACCAUUGCUGGAUAAUUGGAAAGUCCCUGUGUGUCAACCUCUGUGCUUCGUGGCAAGGUAGACUAGCAAACAUGCCCAACCUUUACUCACAUUCGAGAAAACACUCCCAACAAGAUUGCUUGCUCCAAAAUCGAAGAGGCACCGCCCUCCGAAUCUCGAGAGCCAGACUCCCAACAUGAUUACUUUCUCAAAAAUCGAAGAGACACUGCUCCCCGAAUCUCGAGAGCCAGACCCCCCAGCAUGAUUGCUUUCUCAAAAAUCGAUGAGGCAUCGUUCUCCGAAUCAAUCGAAGAGGCGCUCGCUUUCUCAAAAGCUGGGCUGCUCAGAGACCACGAGGGCCGAUCUCAGAAAUCGAAGAGGCACCUACUUUUCU
Molecule: long non-coding RNA, 674 nt
Filed under: Malus domestica (apple)
Lineage: Eukaryota; Viridiplantae; Streptophyta; Magnoliopsida; Rosales; Rosaceae
Description: long non-coding RNA (MDOM_LNC006523)
Source: RNAcentral